This 202-nucleotide non-coding RNA is filed under the name Onchocerca ochengi. Its description in RNAcentral is "Eukaryotic large subunit ribosomal RNA". It matches the Rfam family "Eukaryotic large subunit ribosomal RNA", at positions 967 to 1170 of the family's 3401-position model. The record is from Rfam by way of RNAcentral. Lineage: Eukaryota; Metazoa; Nematoda; Chromadorea; Rhabditida; Onchocercidae.
UGUCCAUGUACAGAUACGCAAUGAGGCUGUUACAUUCGGUAAUGUGAAUGAUUAGAGGAAUUGUGGGACGAAACGUCUUCAACCUAUUCUCAAACCUUCAAUGUGUAUGACGCCUUGCUUGCUUGAAUGAAGAUUAGACAAUGAAUGUGUGCUUCAAGUGGGCCAUUUUUUGUAAAAAGAAUUGGCGCUGUGUGAUGAACCA